Molecule: ribosomal RNA, 476 nt
Filed under: uncultured bacterium
Lineage: Bacteria
Description: bacterial SSU rRNA
Rfam family: Bacterial small subunit ribosomal RNA
Source: RNAcentral
GACGAACGCUGGCGGCGUGCUUAACACAUGCAAGUCGAGCGGUAAGGCCCUUUCGGGGGUACACGAGCGGCGAACGGGUGAGUAACACGUGGGUGACCUGCCCUCAGCUCUGGGAUAAGCCUGGGAAACCGGGUCUAAUACUGGAUAUGACUCCAUGACGCAUGUUGUGGGGUGGAAAGCCUUGUGCGGCUGAGGAUGGGCCCGCGGCCUAUCAGCUUGUUGGUGGGGUGANGGCCUACCAAGGCGACGACGGGUAGCCGGCCUGAGAGGGCGACCGGCCACACUGGGACUGAGACACGGCCCAGACUCCUACGGGAGGCAGCAGUGGGGAAUCUUGCGCAAUGGGCGAAAGCCUGACGCAGCGACGCCGCGUGAGGGAUGAAGGUCUUAGGAUUGUAAAGCUCUUUCGCCCGUGACGAUGAUGACGGUAACGGGAGAAGAGCCCCGGCUAACUUCGUGCCAGCCGCCGCCGUAAG